Molecule: long non-coding RNA, 2113 nt
Organism: Cebus imitator (Panamanian white-faced capuchin)
Lineage: Eukaryota; Metazoa; Chordata; Mammalia; Primates; Cebidae
Exons: 4
Source: RefSeq, a predicted model, not a curated record
CUAGGCUUGCAGGAUCUAUCUGUUCUUUUCCAUCCCCAAAAAUCAAAUGGUUGCUCCAGGAAAAUGUCCCCUUUGUGGCAGGGUGAAGGAAAAAGAGAGUGGCGAUGAAACCAAAAAUUAAAAUGACCUGAGUCCCAUAUGCUCCAGGAAUAGGUCCUGGGGAUGGUAGUGGAGGUCAGGGGGAGAAUGUUGGUGAGGUCAAAAUUUUUAAAGUUUCAAGUCCUAUCCCGAAUGCGGGUACCAGACACAGUACAAAGGUUCUCAAAGCCCAGUUACAUAUUCCAAACCAAACGCGGGCUCUUGAAGGGUGUUGAGGUAGGGAUGAGAUACAGGAUCGCCUGAAGAGGAUUUCUUCCUCUCUUAGGGACCUGCUUGGCUCCAGCUGACUCGGUUGAGGAGGAAAAACCUCCCACUCACUCCUCUUGGGCUCCCUGCAAGGAGAGAGUAGAGAUACCCCUGCCACCCAGUUGCAAGAAGUCGCCACUUCCCCAUCAGGCCGACUGAGUUCGGGCGACGUCUGGGCCGUCAUUUGAAGGCAUUUCCUUUUCUUUAAGAACAAAGGUUGGAGCCUAAGCCUUGCAGCGCUGGGCGCAGGAAAGUACACGGCGCGUGUCGAGAGAAAAAAAAAUACACACACGCAAUGACACCCGAGAAAGGGAAAGGGGAAAACACCAAUUCCCCGGGCGCUGGGCUUUUUCGACUUUUCCUUUAAAAAGAAAAAAGUUUUCAAGCUGCGCGGGCUUCCUGUGAGCGGCCGAGCCCGGGCCCCAGCGCCGCCUGCAGCCUCGGGAAGGGAGCGGCCCGCGGAGCCCGGAGCGGCCCGCAGAGCCAGCGCGGGGAACCAAGGAGACGCUCCUGGCACAGCAGAUAACUUGUCUGCAUUUCAAGAACAACCUACCAGAGACCUUACCUGUCACCUUGGCUCUCCCACCCAAAGGAGAUGGCUCUAAGGGUGGCACAAACCAGGAAGGGGAAAUCUGUGGUUUAAAUUCUUUAUGCCUCAUCCUCUGAGUGCUGAAGGCUGUAUGCUGUUAAUGCUAAUCGUGAUAGGGGUUUUUACCUCCAACUGACUCCUACAUGUUAGCAUUAACAGGGUAUGAUGCCUGUUACUAGCAUUCACAUGGAACAAAUUCUGCCGUGGGAGGAUGACAAAGAAGCAUGAGUCACCCUGCUGGAUAAACUUAAGACUUCAGGCUUUAUCAUUUUUCAAUUUUGUUCAUCAUAAUCUGGUCACUGGGAUGUUCAACCCUAAACUAAGUUUUAAAAGUAAGGUUAUUUAAAAAGAUUUAUCAGUACUAUCCUAAAUGCAAACAUUUUCAUUUAAACGUCAAGUCCACAUUUGUUUUUUAUCAUUAACAGAAGAUGUAUUCAUGUCAUUUUUAACUGUUCAUUGUAGUGGCUUGUUUUGGCUUGUUCACUGUAAUAUUCAUAAACACCUUUGAUUCAACUGUUAGAAAUGUCAGCUAAACAUAAAUUUCUAUCAAAAUUAGAAGGACAACUAACCUCCAGUUAUAUCAUGGAUUGUCUGGCAACAUUUUUAAAAAGAUUUAAAAAUUGGUAUUUUCCCCUAUGUAACAAUUUCCUGUUUAGACAACUUCAGUUUAAAACUAAUACUUUUAUUUGACUCUAAAGGGAAAUUGAAAGGCUGUGACCCUGAAUUUUUUAAAUAGAAUAUUUUUAACAAUUAGCAUGGUAAAUAACAUCUGAAAGCUAAUGAGAUUUUUUUUUCUGUACAAGAUACAAAUAUUUAAUCAAAAAACUUCACAUUUGAAGUGAAGAACCAACCUAGGUUCAAGUUCAAUAGCUUAGCCACAUAAUACUGCUGUGUGAGCAGAGAAUCCACCUUUCCACUCUAAGCCUGUUUCUUCAUCCAUAAAAUGGGGAUAAUACUUUACACAGUUGUUGUGAGGCUUAAGUGAGAUAGAUAAUUAUGAUUUGCAAACUUUUUAAGGUUUAGAUUUCUAUGCAGUUUUUCUAUAUAACCAUCACUUACAAAUAUGUAACCAAAUGUAAUUGUUAGUAUAUUUAAUAUAUACUUAUUUUAACAACUCUUCUCAACAUUUUGUCAGGGUUAUUCACUGUAACUAAAUAAAUCUCAUGAGUCUUUAGUUGA